GUGGGGAAUAUUGGACAAUGGGCGCAAGCCUGAUCCAGCCAUACCGCGUGGGUGAAGAAGGCCUUCGGGUUGUAAAGCCCUUUUGUUGGGAAAGAAAUCCUGUCGGUUAAUACCUGGCGGGGAUGACGGUACCCAAAGAAUAAGCACCGGCUAACUUCGUGCCAGCAGCCGCGGUAAUACGAAGGGUGCAAGCGUUACUCGGAAUUACUGGGCGUAAAGCGUGCGUAGGUGGUGGUUUAAGUCCGUUGUGAAAGCCCUGGGCUCAACCUGGGAAUUGCAGUGGAUACUGGAUCACUAGAGUGUGGUAGAGGGAUGCGGAAUUUCUGGUGUAGCAGUGAAAUGCGUAGAGAUCAGAAGGAACAUCCGUGGCGAAGGCGGCAUCCUGGGCCAACACUGACACUGAGGCACGAAAGCGUGGGGAGCAAACAGGAUUAGAAACCAGUGUAGUCC
Molecule: ribosomal RNA, 450 nt
Filed under: uncultured bacterium
Lineage: Bacteria
Description: partial 16S ribosomal RNA
Rfam family: Bacterial small subunit ribosomal RNA
Source: RNAcentral